Molecule: ribosomal RNA, 562 nt
Filed under: uncultured bacterium
Lineage: Bacteria
Description: partial 16S ribosomal RNA
Rfam family: Bacterial small subunit ribosomal RNA
Source: RNAcentral
UGGGGAAUUUUGGACAAUGGGCGAAAGCCUGAUCCAGCAAUGCCGCGUGUGUGAAGAAGGCCUUCGGGUUGUAAAGCACUUUUGUCCGGAAAGAAAUCCUUGGCUCUAAUACAGUCGGGGGAUGACGGUACCGGAAGAAUAAGCACCGGCUAACUACGUGCCAGCAGCCGCGGUAAUACGUAGGGUGCAAGCGUUAAUCGGAAUUACUGGGCGUAAAGCGUGCGCAGGCGGUUUGCUAAGACCGAUGUGAAAUCCCCGGGCUCAACCUGGGAACUGCAUUGGUGACUGGCAGGCUAGAGUAUGGCAGAGGGGGGUAGAAUUCCACGUGUAGCAGUGAAAAUGCGUAGAGAUGUGGAGGAAUACCGAUGGCGAAGGCAGCCCCCUGGGCAAGUACUGACGCUCAUGCACGAAAAGCGUGGGGAGCAAAACAGGAUUAGAUACCCUGGUAGUCCACGCCCUAAAACGAUGUCAACUAGUUGUUGGGGGAUUCAUUUCCUUAGUAAACGUAGCUAACGCGUGAAGUUGACCGCCUGGGGGAGUACGGUCGCAAGAUUAAAAACUU